CUCGCUGCUGCCACCUGCUGCUCGCUGCUGCCACCUGCUGCUCGCUGCUGCCACCUGCUGCUCGCCGCUGCCACCUGCGGCCACAUUCGCUUCUCUGCGACACGACUCACAAUGGGAGGGACGCAAUCCCGCCUCACCAUUUCCUGGAUGACUGAAAACUAGGCGAAAGGUGGUUGGCUUUAGUAGGGAUAGAUACAGAGUAAAAGUGCUCGUAUACUGCCCCGUCAAUAAUGUGGAGAGCUGCAGAGCAACGUUGCUUCAAGCUGAAUGCACAGUCGAGGACAUCCACAAUAUAAAGUGGACAAUAAGCAACGGGUCGACGUUGAAGUAUAAACCUCCUGGAAGCAGAACAGUAAAAGGUUGCAAAAAUACCCCCGGGCUGCUUGUCUUUGACGGGUGGAAGAAGGAAGAAUUAGGAGGGAAUUGAUGGACCUGUGAAGGGAAUAGGCUGAUGGAAAUGUGCGGAGUAAUCCUGGUGGAAUGCUUCACGAUGCUGGUCUGCUGAAUGACCCCUCUCUAUCUGGCCCUGGCACUCCAGCACAGACAGACAGACUCACUGGCCCACAAUGAAUGCCUUUAUCUGCCCUGAUAUCAGUGCCUUGCAGAGGGAUGUCAGUUCACCC
Long non-coding RNA from Amblyraja radiata (thorny skate), 623 nucleotides. RefSeq lists it as uncharacterized. The transcript has 3 exons. The record is from RefSeq and is a predicted model, not a curated record. Lineage: Eukaryota; Metazoa; Chordata; Chondrichthyes; Rajiformes; Rajidae.